UCACUUCGACAGCACAUAUACUAAAAACUGGAGCAAUACAGAGAGGAUUAGCAUGGUCCCUGCACAAGGAUGACACAAAUUCAUGAAGCAUUCCAUAUUUUA
Small nuclear RNA from Suncus etruscus (white-toothed pygmy shrew), 102 nucleotides. The record is from RefSeq and is a predicted model, not a curated record. NCBI's taxonomy places the organism in Eukaryota, Metazoa, Chordata, Mammalia, Eulipotyphla, Soricidae.